RNAcentral lists this ribosomal RNA (253 nucleotides) under uncultured bacterium. RNAcentral's name for it is "partial 16S ribosomal RNA". It matches the Rfam family "Bacterial small subunit ribosomal RNA", at positions 524 to 776 of the family's 1533-position model. The record is from RNAcentral.
UACGGAGGGGGCUAGCGUUGUUCGGAAUUACUGGGCGUAAAGCGCACGUAGGCGGCUUUGUAAGUUAGAGGUGAAAGCCCGGGGCUCAACUCCGGAAUUGCCUUUAAGACUGCAUCGCUAGAAUUGUGGAGAGGUAAGUGGAAUUCCGAGUGUAGAGGUGAAAUUCGUAGAUAUUCGGAAGAACACCAGUGGCGAAGGCGACUUACUGGACACAUAUUGACGCUGAGGCGCGAAGGCGUGGGGAGCGAACGGG